Molecule: long non-coding RNA, 1757 nt
Organism: Micropterus dolomieu (smallmouth bass)
Lineage: Eukaryota; Metazoa; Chordata; Actinopteri; Centrarchiformes; Centrarchidae
Exons: 3
Source: RefSeq, a predicted model, not a curated record
UUGGCUGGCUGGCUGUCACUCUCCCUCGUUGCCAUGGCUACCAGCCAUGCUGCUACAGGAGCUGCCCACGUGCGCGCACCUGGUCAGCUCUCAGACCCUAUGAGAGAAGCGGUCAGACUGGUGGGUGAUAUCUGCGUGGCUUUUCAACGAUAGUGACUGACAACUGAGGAACACCAAGGGGCUGACACACCGUAAUGGCUUCAUUUCUGAUGGACAGGUCACCUGCAAUCUUCCAUAGCCCUGUGCUUCUCACCAGUACACUGAUUGGACAAUGCUGGCUGGCCUGGAUUACAACCACCGUGUCCACUGACCAGUCAGGAGAAUAACUGAUGACACAGUACAGCAAGGUGUACAACAAAAGGUCCAGGAAGUGGAGCUUAUACUCAUUGAAAGUGGAGAAAGACAGUUACAUCGCAGACCUCCAGAGUGCCUGAGGAGAUGCCUAGAAGCAGAACCAGGAGACCUGGGGCCUCAUUUAUAAACGUUGCGUACGCACAACAGAAGGCGUACGCCGCUCUCUACGCAAUAAUUGGUAUUUAUAAAAAGUAAACUUGACGGUAAAAUGUGCGGUCCUUCAAGCAAGCUCUUACCCAGGCGUACGCACAAAAAUGGGUGAAAUGAGAAAUGGCGACACCGUCGGCAGAUGGAAGAAACAGGUGAAAGUGAGUGAAACUGUAGAUCGUUGUAAAAUAAAUGGCAAUACUGCCUCUCAUAAAUAACACGAAGACUUCACAAAGCAAGUCUUACAAUUAACAGCCUACACAAACACCCGUUUGAUCGAUCUGCAACAGAAAUGCAAAUUAACACAUAUUUCCAAAAAGUGAAAUAUGUUCUGCAAUAACAUUGGCAUGUUAUACAAUUCAUCCUCAUAAAUAAGAUGGUAAACAGAACGAAAUAAUGUACAAAACUGAUAUUCUCACCAAUGUGUCCGUCUGGCGGAGCAGAUAUAGAUGCAAUUAGAUAGUCAGUCAGAUAGAUAGAUAAUUAGGGAGAUAUAUAGAUAGAUAUAUAGAUAUAUAGAUAAAUAUAUAUUAUUUGUCCACUGGGGAAAGUUGUUUUCAUAGUAAAAAUGUCUUCAUCAGCUACGGAAUCAUGGUAUUCAUGCAUAUGCCUUUAGUUUGUUUUAUUUUUGAUAAAAUAACGUAUGACGUAUGUCUCAACCAUUUAGAAAGAAAUUACAUUUGCGCUGAACUAUUUCCCAUUUCCAAGUAGAUUAUAACCGACAUCUGUAGCUUGUCAGAUGCAAUUAAAUGGAUGGAAAUAAAAUGCCCCAUCACAAUGCGUAAUGACGCACAAUGGCUGAUCUUGCGCUCUUAGAAGAUGUGGCAAAUGGAAGGAUUCGGAGUGAACGCAUCUUCAGACAGCAAGAAGACUUGUUGGCAAAUGAGGACGAGUGGCUUAUGAGCCGGUUCCGACUUCCUCGAGCCGUCCUGAUGGAGCGCUAGACGCUUUUUUGCUUCGACUUUGAUGUCCGACCAUUUCUUUUUUAUUUCAGCCACAGUCCGAGGUUGUGAGGCUACAGCAUUUACGGCGUCUGCAACCUUUUGCCACUCAAGUGCCUUUUUGGCAUUAGUAAUGCCCACACUGUGCCCUCCAAACAACAUUUUUCUCCUCUUUUCCACCUCGCCAACGAGUGAAGUUACGUUUUUUUGAUUUCCUCUCUGUGUUUGCCAUGAUUUCGCAAUCAAUGAAUAUUAACUUGUGGGCGUUUCACGGACUAUUUAUGGGCAACUAUGGGCGUGACAUGAAGCCGCAAA